UACGUAGGGGGCGAGCGUUGUCCGGAAUCAUUGGGCGUAAAGAGCUCGUAGGCGGUUCAGCAAGUCGGCUGUGAAAUUCCGAGGCUCAACCUCGGAACUGCAGUCGAUACUGCUGUGACUCGAGUCCGGUAGAGGAGAAUGGGAUUCCCGGUGUAGCGGUGAAAUGCGCAGAUAUCGGGAGGAACACCAGUAGCGAAGGCGGUUCUCUGGGCCGGUACUGACGCUGAGGAGCGAAAGCGUGGGGAGCAAACAGG
Molecule: ribosomal RNA, 254 nt
Filed under: uncultured bacterium
Lineage: Bacteria
Description: partial 16S ribosomal RNA
Rfam family: Bacterial small subunit ribosomal RNA
Source: RNAcentral